This is a long non-coding RNA of Ictalurus punctatus (channel catfish), 2013 nucleotides long. The record is from Ensembl. Lineage: Eukaryota; Metazoa; Chordata; Actinopteri; Siluriformes; Ictaluridae.
CACAUAUUAAGCUCUGGGCUUUGUGGUGUUGUGUUUUUGUGCAAGGAGAUCAGACUGGAAUGAGGACAACUCAAAGAUAGUUACAUAGAGCAAGUACUUGGAGCUGUGAUGAAACAUGUGGAUAAAAGAGCGUGAUCCGUAAAGCUUGUGAAGAAAAGUGAGAUCUUUAGCGAUGUGACGGAGCCAAUAAUAGAGCCAGAGGACAUAAUGUUCAGAUGCUUUUGAUGUCCCUGGCACAUGUGAGAUGGUAUGGAGGUGCCCGUCACUUUUCCUUCUCCUUUACUGGAGGGGCUGGAUUUGGAUCUGAACACUCGCUAUCAGCUCGGGCAUCUCACUGCUGACAUCACUAUGCUAUACGUUCUUCGCACCCCCUCUGGAAAUGCAGGGAUCCCCCCACCUCUCAGAUACAGAAUCCGCCCCGCGAAUGUGUGUAUUGACGCCUCUACACAGAUAGACCCUUUGUCUGACCCUCCCUCCAGCUUUCAGUCUGGGGAUGAUGUCACCUUCUCUAAUCUGGGCUCUGACCAUUCUCCCCUUUUCUCACCUGCCAGUCCCGAGUACUCUCCGCAGUACACCUCGGCUGGCUAUCCCACGUCCCCAGGACGCACCCCAUUUUAUUACUCGUUUUCUCCCUACCGCUCCCCUCAGGAAUACACUCCCACCAGUCCUGUGAAUUCUCAAUAAAAUUACAUACUGUUCAUACUUAGUCUGUGAACCUCAAUAAACUUACAAGUUAAUCAUACUUGGUCUCGCUCGUGCUUAUUUCAUGCAAUUUUUAUACACAACAAAGGGUAUGAGGAAGGGUAUACCAUUUAUGUGUGUCUAUUUAUAUAUAUUAUAAAUACCGAAAAAAUGACCUAAACAUAGGAAAUCUUUUCAAUUAAAUGGUCUGUGUGUGCGUGCAUGUAUAUACUCACUGAGGAAUGAUGGUUUAGUUGCAUCUAGUGGAUUAUAAGACAGAGCGGGAGGGAGAGAGAGAGAGAGAAUAUAUAUAUAUUAUAGGAACAUUACAAUACAGUGUGUUAUUUGUCAUUGUUAGUCUAAACAACGCCCCUGAUUAAACUCAUUAGCUAAUUAGCACUGUGUGAGGUCAGAUCACAUGUCUGGUACAAUGACUAAAAGCAAUUACUGUAAUUACUAAAUUUAAUGACAUCCGCCUCCGCCUCCUCCCUGUGUGCGUAGAGUUUGCGUGUUCUCUCUGUGCUUCGGGGGUUUACUCCGGCUGCUCCGGGGUCAAGUUAGUAUACCAAUCAGUAUCCAGAAUUCCUACUCUCUACAUAUGAGUGCUCUAAAUACCACCCAUAACUUAGAAUAAUUUUGGAAUUUGAAGGUCUUGAGAAACAUUUCUAACCAAACCAGAAUAUCAUAUUUGUACACUAAAAUGAGUAAAUAUGACAUCAUACCAUGUGACAUUGCCCAUCAUCUCCUGGCAAAUUUCAGAGAAGAGUACGGAGGAGCUGUAAUGUACAAUACCAUCUCCAGGUGGCAGUGUGGCAUCGUCCAAGCACAGACCUUUCCUACAGAGACAAAUUAGUGUUAGAGCAAUGCAUAAUAAAUUCCAGAGAUAUUGUCGGAGGUUACUAGAAGGUAUUUCACUUCUUAUCCAUCCUACUUCAUAAACUUCUCCGUAAAUAAUUAAUCAUAAUGAAAUCCGGUUUGGUCUCUCACUCACCCACUCUCUUCGCCUCCCCGAUUAGUUGAACUCAUAAAGUGCUGUUACUGCUUUUCUGAUGUAGGAGCUGCCGGGUCUACAUGGGCUUAACUGAAGCAGCACUGUGCAGGUAGUGCUUCUGUGAUGGAGGAGAUGGCACUUAAUUAGCUAUUAUUUAUGUAAUCAUAAAAGCAAUCGCAUUUGGGUCUACGUUUAGCAGAAUAUUUGAGAUUGACAUAAAAUUCAGCAUCUUCACCGUCCAGGUUAAUGUCCUGUAAUGAAUAAAAGCAACAUGACUCAGGAUAUAGUCAUUCAAUUUUGUUAUUACAGUAAUUGCUCCUAGUAAAUGCAUCAGAUUCUAG